CCAACUAUUUGAAAAUUCAAAAUUCAAAUUCUAUAGCGUAGAGAAACUUGAAAAUUUCGAAUUUAGAUCCAAAAAAACACAGUGAAAACCCAAAAAUUUUCUGUUAAGAAAUAGAUAGUUUAAAUACAAAGCAUUAGAUCCUACAAAUCCAAAAAGAAAAUCCUGAAAAUCAACAAAAGAUGGUGCAGAAAUCAUUUCCAGAUCAGUUGUUUAUUUAGUUGCACUGGUUCAACAAGUUUGGUCUUCAGAUUCAAUUGGUUAUUAGUAAGUGGAAGCUGUUUUGGAAUUUGCUGCAUUGUAUCUGGUUUCUCCUGGGUAUAAAGCUUGGCAUCUGCUGAGAUCUGCUAGAUUUUAACUUGCUGUUGCGUGCCUGUUUAGAUGACCUCUAUUUUUCCUCAUUUUGUUCUAAAUUCCAGGUACGAUCCCUCAACGUUGGUGACAUAGUAUGUGAUUCCAGAUUUGAAAUGAAGCUCAGUUGCUGUCUUCAAUUUUGUUUUAUGCCAGUUACAUCUCUUCUGUUACUUGCAUUUACUCGUAUGUAUUAGCUUAGCCAAACUCUGUUUAAGUAGUUAAGUUUCUCAUGCUGUACUUAAACACGAACUCUGAAAACUGUGAUGUAUUUGGAUCCUGUGGUUUGUGUUGUUUAAUGUUACAAAGUUGAUAGCUGUGUAACAAUUCGUUCAGACUGUAGUUAAUCGAGUUAUCAUUGAUCCUGAAUAAGAGAAAUCCUCAAUAAUUGGUCUAUAGAGAUACUGGUUGUCACGACCCUAGUCCACCAUCGUGAACCUGUCAUGACGGCACCCAGUCUUCGCGACUAGGUUAGCCUUAACACAUUGCGAAAUUUAACAAUGCGGAAAUAAAACAAUACCAACUACUAAAUAGAACAUGAAAUGUAUACGGUGCCGUUUUGAACAUACACUACACACACCACUUCUGAAGAUAACAUCCGAAAACCCAGAAUCCCACAUGCAACACAAGUCUAAGAGAAACGUAAAUACAGUUCUAAUGUCUGAAAGAGUCUAGUACAACAGAAACAAUAAGGAACAGUACUGCUAACUAAGAUAGAAAGGAUGGAGACUCUCUGGUCUGCGGACGCAGCAGUAUACCUCAAGUCUCCGGUAGCAAGCUCCGAACUCACCGACGAUACGCCUGGCUGGAUGUACGUGGAUCUGCACAACAAAAGUUUGCAGAAGAGUAGCAUGUGUACACCACAAUCGGUACUCAGUAAGUGCCAAGCCUAACCUCGGUUGGGUAGUGACGAGUAAUGUCGAGGCCACUACUGAGAUAAAUAUAAGAAUAUAUAUGAAAUGAAAUAACCGUAAGAAAUACGCAAACCUCGAAUAUCUAACAACAAUUAGAAGAACGGAAUAGGCUAUAUUACAACUAUACCAAACAAGAAAAAUCGUUACAGGCUAUUAGUCAUCAGGGAUCUCCUGGUAUCCCGAUGAUCUCCCGGUAUCCUCUUUAUACACACAAGGGAUUUCCAAGUAUCCCAAGGAUCUCCCAGUAUCCUCAUAAUAUAAGCAAGGGAUAUCCAAGUAUCCCGAGGAUCUCUUAGUAUCCUCCAAUUAAUCAGUCCUGCCUUGGGUAUCUCUUAGUAUCCACAAGUUAAAUAAUCCAGUGUCGGGGAUCUCUUGGUAUCCCGCACUUCCAAACCCCAAAACAAAACACGAACAGGGAAAACUCCUGGGGUGCCGUCCCGUAGUCCCAAUAGUAAAUACACAACAACAAACCCAUAUUUAAUUGAAAGAAAGCAAAAUGCGAACAAGUAAAAUCGAGAAUCUAACAUGCUUAACAGAAAUGACGAAUAUUGCAAUUUAGUCAAAUAGGAAAAAUAAGUUACUAACAUGCUAUCCAAGAGGAAACAAAUAUUACAAUUUAGUCAAAUAGAGCAAAUAAGUUACUAACAUGCUUUUCCUAAGUCAAAACAAGUGAAUUUUCAUUUUUUUAACAAUUAAAUAUGUGAAGAAACACAGUCUAAAUAAGCCAAGUAAGGUGAAUUUUCAACAACUAGCACAAGUACACGCCUGUCACCUCACACACAAGGCAUUUAAACAAUGGCAAAGAUAUCCUUAGGGGAGAGGUCCCCCACACAAAGUUAUGCAAGCUACUUACCUCGAAUUGGUACAAAACCGCUAAGAAAUAAUGUCCUUGCCACGAGUAUCCGAAACACACACGAGGCCCCCGAGACCUCAAACAAACCUACAAACAUAUCCCUUAACAUCAUUCAAACUUGUACCAAUCCUUAAACCACCUAAAACAACACCGGAAACACAAUUUAAUCAAUACAUUAAACUUAAAACCUCCAAAACUUAACCAAAUACGCUUUCGAUUCGAAACCUAACCAAACCACGUCCGAUUGACCUCAAAUUUUGCACGAACAUCCCAAAUGACAUGACUGUGCUACCGAAACUUCCGGAAUCCCGUUCCGACCCUCAGAUAAAAUAUUCACUAUCAGACUGGAAACUUCAAAAUUCUAACUUUCGACAUUUCUAGAUUAAAUGAGCUACAGACAUCCAAAAUUCAUUCCGAACACGCUCCCAACCCCGAAAUCACCCAACAGAGCUAACAUAACCAUCAGAUUUCCAUUCCGAGAUCGUCUUGACACUGUUCUAAUUACGGAUAAUUUUUCAACACCUAAGCUCUCAUUUAGGGACUAAGUGUCCCGAAACACUCCGAAUUCUAUUACCGAACAUCCCGGCAAACCAAAAUAGUGGAAAUGAACUUAGGGGAAACAGUUAAUGGGGAAACAGAGCAUAAAUUCCAAAGACGACCGGUCGGGUCGUCACAUCCUCCUUCACUUAAACAUUCGUUCGUCCUCGAACGAGCACAGAGAACAUACCUGAAGUAGCAAAAGGAUGAGGGUAUCGGCUGCGCAUAUCCCGCUCGGUCUCUCUAGUCGCCUCCUUAGCCGGCUGACCUUGCCAUUGAACCUUUACUGAAACUAUAUCCUUUGACGUGAGCUUUCGAACCUGCCUAUCAAAUAUUGCCACUGGCUACUCAACAAAGGACAAGUCAUUGUCCAACUGGACUGUUCCUUGUCCGGCUGACCCCGCCACUGAACAUUUACUAAAGCUAUAUCCUUUGACCUGAGCUUUCAAACCUGCCUAUCCAAUAUUACCACUGGCUCCUCAACAUAGGACAAGUCAUUAUCCAAUUGGAAUGAAGUGAACUCCAACGCGUGAGACGGGUCACCAUGAUACCUCGGAAGCAUUGAAACAUGAAAUACUAGAUGAACCCCGACCAAACUGGGAGGCAAAGCAAGCUCAUAAGCAACCUUCCCAAUCUACCUCCUCAAAUGGGCUAAUGGACCCCGGGCUCAACUUCCCUUUCUUCCCAAACGUCAUGACGCCUUUCAUAUGCGAGACCCGAAGAAAAACACGCUCACCAACCAUAAAGGAAACAUCACAAACCUUUCGGUCCGCAUAACUCUUCUGUCGGGACUGGGCCACAUGGAGUCUGUCCUGAAUCACCUUAACCUUCUCAACCGCAUCGUGAACCAAAUCAGUGCCCAAUAGCCUGGCCUCCCCGGCUCGAACCAACCCACCAGGGAUCUACAUCUCCUACCAUAUAAGGCCUUAUAAGGCGCCAUCUGAAUACUGGAAUGAUCUCUGUUGUUGUAUGCAAACAUAGCCAAUGGCAAGGACUGAUCCCAAGACCCUCUAAACUCAAUCGUGCACGCACGAAGCAUAUCCUCAAGAAUCUUAAUAGUGCGCUCGAACUGUCAGUCCGUAUGAGAAUGAAAAGCUGUACUCAUGGUCACCCGGGUACCCAACUCAUGCUGGACGGCACUCCAGAACCGUGAUGUAAACAUUGAACCCCUGUCUGAGAUGAUAGAAACUGGAAUGCAUGCAGACGGACAAUCUCCCCAAUAUAAAUCCAUGUUAACCGCUCCGCUGAGUAAGAAGUACACACUGGAAUCAAAAUGAGUGGACUUGGUUAGCCUAUCCACAACAACCCAAAUAGAAUCACACUUCCUGGCCGUCAUAGGGAUACAAGUCACAAAAUCCAUGGUGAUAUUCUCCCAUUUCCACUCCGGAAUCACCAUAUGCUGGAGUCACCCUCCCGGUCUCUGAUGCUCAGCCUUUACCUGCUGAUAGUUGAGGCAUCUAGCUACAAAUUCUAAUAUGUCCUUCUUCAUCCGCCUCCACCACAAUGCUGCCUCAGAUCCUGAUACAUCUUCGCGGCACCCGGAUGGAUGGAGUAACGCGAGUUUUGUGCCUCAGUCAAUAUCAACUCCCGAAUAUCAUCAACAUCGGGCACACAGAUCCGUCCCUGCAUCCUCAACACCCCAUCAUCUCCAAUAGUCACAUCCUUAGCAUCGCCAUGCUGAACUGUGUCCCUGAGGACAAGUAAAUGAGGGCAUCAUACUGUCGCUCCCUGAUACAAUCAAAUAAUGAGGACCGAGAAACCAUACAAGCUAGAACCCCACUAGCUCUAAAAUGUCCAAUCUCACAAACUAACUGGCUAAAACCUGGACAUCCAAAGCCAUAGGUCUCUCUGAAGCUGAUAAACCGCUCUCUGAUACGAUCAAACAAUGAAGACCGAGAAGCCACAUAGGCUAGGACCUGACUGGGCUCCGAAAGGUCCAAUCUCACGAACUGACUGGCUAGAGCCUGAACAUCCAUCGCCAUAGGUCUCUCUGAAGCUCGUAAAUAUGCCAAACUCCCCAAACUCUACGCCCGGUGGCUCAAGGCAUCGGCUAACACAUUGGCCUUGCCCGGGUGAUAAAGAAUAGUAAUAUCAUAGUCCUUUAGUAGCUCCAACCAUCUUCUCUGGCGCAAGUUCAGAUCCUUUUGCUUGAACAAGUGCUGCAAACUUUCAUGAUCCGUAUAAAUAUCACAAGGCACACCAUACAAAUAAUGAUGCCAGAUCUUUAAGGCAUGAACAAUAGCAGCUAACUCAAGGUCAUGGAAAUGAUAGUUCUUUUCAUGUACCUUCAACUGUCUGGAUGCGUUGGCAAUCACCCUACCAUCAUGCAUCAACACAUCUCCAAGUCCAACUCGUGAGGCAUCACAAUAAGCCGUAUAGGACCCCGAACCAGUAGGCAAAAUCAUAAUAGGGGCUGAAGUGAAAGCCGUAUUGAGCUUUUUGAAGCUCGCCUCACACUCGUAUGACCACUGAAAAGGAGCACCCUUCUGGGUCAAUCUAGUCAUAGGGUCUGCAAUCAACAAGAACACCUCCACAAAACGAUAGUAAUACCCUGCCAGGCGAAGGAAACUGUGGAUCUCUGUAGCUAAGAAGGGCCUAUGCCAACUUUGCUCGACCUCCACCUUCUUCGGAUCUACCCGAAUGCCCUCACUUCCCUCCACAAAACGAUGGUAAUACCCUGCCAGGCCAUGGAAACUGCGGAUCUUUGAAGAUGAUAAGGGCCUAGGCCAACUCUGCACGGCCUCCACCUUCUUCGGAUCUACCCGAAUGCCCUCACUCAAUAGCACAUGGCCUAUAACUCAACCAGAACUCACAUUUUGAAAACUUUGCACAUAAUUUCUUUUCUCUCAGGUUCUAAAGCACUGUUCUCAAGUGUUGCUCAUGAUCUUCCUGACUCGGGGAGUAUACAAGAAUAUCAUCUAUGAAAACAAUGACAAACGAGUCGAGAUACGGCCUGAAUACAGUGUGCAUCAAAUGCAUAAAAGCUGCUGGGGCGUUGGUCAGCCCAAAUGACAUGACAAGGAACUCGUAAUGACCGUACCGAGUCCUGAAAGCAGUCUUUGGGAUAUCCGGCUCCCGAAUCUUUAGCUGAUGGUAUCCUGAGCGCAAAUCAAUCUUAGAACACACAUGUGCGCCCUGAAGCUGGUCAAAUAGAUCAUCAAUACGAGGCAAAGGAUAUCGGUUCUNNNNNNNNNNNNNNNNNNNNNNNNNNNNNNNNNNNNNNNNNNNNNNNNNNNNNNNNNNNNNNNNNNNNNNNNNNNNNNNNNNNNNNNNNNNNNNNNNNNNNNNNNNNNNNNNNNNNNNNNNNNNNNNNNNNNNNNNNNNNNNNNNNNNNNNNNNNNNNNNNNNNNNNNNNNNNNNNNNNNNNNNNNNNNNNNGAAUAAAACCCUUAUCAAGCAAUUCCUGUAACUGAUCCUUCAACUCCUUCAACUCAGGAGGAGCCAUACGGUAAGGAGGAAUAGAUAUGGGCUGAGGGCUCGGCGACAAAUUAAUACCAAAAUAAAUGUCCCAAUCGGGUGGCAUGUCCGAAAGAUCAUCCGGGAACAAAUCAGGGAAUCCUGCACUACUGGAACAUAGUCAACAGAAGGGGUAUCAUCACUGACACCUCUCACAUAAGCUAACUACGCGGCACACCCCUUCUCAACCAUACGCUGAGCUUUAAGAAAAGAUAUAACUCUGCUGGGAGUGUGAUCAAAAGUACCACUCCACUCAAUACGAGGAAAACCUGGCAUAGCCAGUGUCACGGUCUUAGCGUGACAAUCAAGAAUAGCAUACUGUGGAGACAACCAGUCCAUGCCCAAGAUAAUGUCAAAAUCAACCAUAUCAAGUAAUAAAAGAUCUGCCCUGGUUUCAAAACCACGAAUAGUAACCAAACACGACCGAUAUACGCGGUCCACAACAAGGGAAUCUCCCACGGGAGUGGAAACAUAAACAUGAGAGCACAGGUCUCUCGGGCUGUACCCAAAUACUUAGAAAAAUAAGAUGACACAUAAGAAUAAGUAGAGCCUGGAUCAAAUAGAACCGAUGCCUCUCUGUGUACCACGGGAGUAAAAACAUGAACAGGAGAGCUCAAGGUCUCUCGUACUGUACCCAAAUGCGUAGCAAAAUAAGAUGACACAUAAGAAUAAGUAGAGCCUGGAUCGAAUAGAACCGAUACCUCUCUGUGACUAACCAAAAUAAUACACGUGAUAACAGAAUCGGAGGCGACAACCUCGGCACGAUCAGGGAUGGCAUAAAAUCUGGACCGACCCCUACCUCGAGGGAGACCUCUAUCUCCCCGAUCCCCUCCCAAGGCUAGCUGGGCAGAUGGGGUGACAGCUGGAGCUGGAAAAAUGGCCUAAGAAUCCCGCUAGGUGCUCUGCUGCUAAGACUGGUGUGGAGGUGCACUCCUCCUGAGCCUAGGGCAAUCCCUCACUAUCUGGCGGGUAUCCCCGCACUCAUAACAAGCGCUGGGUGGGCGCGGUGGCUGUGACUGACUAGAACCACCCCUGCUAGACUGACCUCUGGAGAUACCCUACGCAGGAGGCACGCUAGAAACUAGGGGUGCAUAAUAAGGCUCUUGAGAUCUGGGAGGAGCUGGAGUAGUGCUGGGUGAAGGAAGAGGUGAGUGAACUCGGUGACCCGUAUAACCCCUAGCAUGAUGUCCUGCUCCUGACGUACGUGUAAUAGAAAAAUGACUAGGCUCUCGAGACCUCUUGGCCUCCCUCUCCUCUCGCUCUCUGGCAUACAACCCUCUAUCCUCCUGGCUAUACUCACCACCUGCUGAUAGGGUAUAUCCAUCUCCAACACUCGCACCAUGCCAGACCUGAUGGAAGGAAUGAGACCCUCGAUAAACCUGCAAACCCUCUCACGAACAGUAGCCACCAAAGAAGGCGCAUGCCUGGCCAACCUAGUGUAACAGAUGGCAUACUCAGAAAAAAUAUUAGGGCCUUGGCGAAAGUGCUCAAACUCCACACGCCAUGCAUCUCGGAGGCUUUGGGGAACAAACUCCCUAUGAAAUAUAUCUGAAAACUGGGUCCAAGUCAGGGAGGCAGCUUCGUCCGGACUGUCUUGGAUGGCAUACUCAGAGAUAGUCACAGGGCCCUGGCGCAAGUGCUUAAACUCCGCGCGCCAUGAAUCGUGGAGGCUUUGGGGAACAAACUCCCCCUGAAACAUAUCUAAAAACUGAGUCCAAGUCAGGGAGGAAGCCUCGUCCGAACUGUCUAGCUCAAAAGUGCGCCACCAGUCAUAGGCAGCUUAUAAGGUCCCGUAUAUAAUUUUGUCACAGAACUUAGUAAACCGUGGUGCCUGCUCUAAUUAUGUAUUAUGAAUGUGUAGAGGUUCGGGCCCUUGGUAGUGAUUUAAGCCUUUAAAAAUUGAAAGAAUUAACUUUUCCAAAAAAGUGUCAAAAUGCGGUCCAGAAUGCGAUCACAGAUCAGCUAUGCGGACCGCAUUCCUACCGCAGAAUGAAUCAGAGAGCAACCAAAUUGAUGUUGAAAAUGCAGUCAAAUCUGCGAUCACAUAAUAAAUAUGCCGACCGCAAAGUGAUCGCGUAUUGUCCCUGAAGAAAUUCAAAAGUCAGUUUUGCGGUGCAUGUUGUGACCGCAGAACGCAAAUACGGACCGCAUAGUGACAACAUUCCCAACCCGAAAGGUUUGAAACUUGAUCCAUUUCUGCGAACCGCAUGUCAGUUCUGCGAUCGCAGAUAGGCGUCGCAGAUCGUAUUCGCUCAAUUAUUUUCUAAAAUUCUAACCCCGACCCCUCUUUUAAUAAAACACCCAAUCUCUCAUUUAUAACCCAUUUUAUGAACAAAAUAAGAGAGAGGAAGAGAGGGUUCUAAAGAGAGAAAGCUACUUCUUCAUCAAUUGAUCUUUCAAAAAUCAUCAAAGCCCGGAAAAUCUUGAGCAUCUGCCUNNNNNNNNNUCUUGAUCAAUUGAUCUUUCAAAAAUCAUCAAAGCCCGGAAAAUCUUGAGUAUCUGCCUUCCCCUCUGAUUUCUAGGUAAAAUCCCUAACCCUUUUCCCCUAAUUUUCGAACUCAGGUUUGGGGAUGGAGUUUCGUACUUUGAUUUUGAAAAUUCUUGUUAUAAAUCCACAUGCAUGUAUUCAAAACCCAAUAAUUGUAAAAAGGGAAAUGGGUAGUAAAUUCUGAAUUCCCAUUCUAAAGGUCUAUGUAUUUAUCAUGAACUAGAUUGAUCCUUAUUGAUUGCUUGAUGAAUUGAAGUAGAGGUUAAAAAGGAUAUUUAAUUCCAGGUAUGUAUGGUUAACUGUGAUCCUCGUGAAAUUGCCUAUGCUAGUUGUGAAAUUGUUGACAGUUGAUAUUCAUGUGAAAAUCAUUGUGAAGCUUUCGUGCUGUACAAAUUGUGUGGUAGUAACUUGUGGUGAAUGUUGUGGAACUUGUAAUUGGAACAACAGAAACGGAAAUAAUGUGGAAUUGCGGGAAUGGAAACAAUGUGGAACAAUGGAAAAAUGGAAACAAUGUGGAAUAAUGGAAAUGGAAACAAUGUGGAACACUAGAAAUGGAAAUAUUGUGGAAUAAUGUGUGGUUAGUUGUGAAAAAUUGUUGUGAUGAUCUAAAUUGUAUAUCAACUUUGAUGAACAUGAGAAAAAUUGUUGUUGCUAGUUGUGGGAUGUUAAUACCCUUGUUGUGGAAUUAUUUUAACAAAGGAGACAGUAGGAGAGUUUGUAACCUGUGGGGCACUGAUUGCCCCUUUGUAUGACUACGUGAAUAAUUGUUGUGAAAUUUUUCGUUGUUGCUUCCUGGUUGUACUUGUACUAUUGUUGUUCAGUUCUAUACUUGUUCAUGUAAUUUGGCUUGAGUUUACUUAGGACAGAGUUAGUUCACACAUGCCAGUACAAUUCAAGUGUACUGACGUCCCCUUUGCCGGGGGCGCUACAUUCAUGUUAUGAUUGUAGGUGGAUCCGUGGCAGGCACUCCAGUCCNNNNNNNNNNNNNNNNNNNNNNNNNNNNNNNNNNNNNNNNNNNNNNNNNNNNNNNNNNNNNNNNNNNNNNNNNNNNNNNNNNNNNNNNNNNNNNNNNNNNNNNNNNCCUCCUCUCUAUCGGCAGUAUUCGUGUUUGGUGAGCCCCUUUCCUUCUGGGGCCAUGUGUGGCCUACGCCACUCCUGUUGUUGUAUUUUGGAGUUAGUAUCUUUUGGUGAAGGUAUAGCCGGGGCCUUGUCAGCGGCAAGUGUUGUAUUAUCAUUCUCAUAGAGGCUCCGUAGACAGUGGUAUGUGGGUUAGGACUUAUGUAUAAAGGUAUAUGUUUUGUAAAAGGUGUCCCCUGUUAAUCAUAAUGUG
Molecule: long non-coding RNA, 9925 nt
Filed under: Nicotiana benthamiana
Lineage: Eukaryota; Viridiplantae; Streptophyta; Magnoliopsida; Solanales; Solanaceae
Description: long non-coding RNA (NBEN_LNC019843)
Source: RNAcentral